Unclassified non-coding RNA from Macaca mulatta (Rhesus monkey), 148 nucleotides. It matches the Rfam family "Metazoan signal recognition particle RNA". From Rfam's summary of the family: The signal recognition particle (SRP) is a universally conserved ribonucleoprotein. It is involved in the co-translational targeting of proteins to membranes. NCBI's taxonomy places the organism in Eukaryota, Metazoa, Chordata, Mammalia, Primates, Cercopithecidae. The record is from Ensembl.
GCCAGGCAUGGUGGCGCACACCUGUAAUCCCAGCUACUCAGGAGGCUGAGGCAGAAGAAUUGCUCGAACCCAGGAGGCAGAGGUUGCAGUGAGCCGAGAUCACACCACUGCAUUUCAGCCUGGGUGACAGAGCGAGACUCUGUCUCAA